This 1481-nucleotide ribosomal RNA is filed under the name metagenome. RNAcentral's name for it is "bacterial SSU rRNA". It matches the Rfam family "Bacterial small subunit ribosomal RNA". The record is from RNAcentral.
AGAGUUUGAUUCUGGCUCAGAACGAACGCUGGCAGCGUGGAUGAGGCACGCAAGUCGAGCGGGAUCGGGAAAGCAGCAAUGUGGACCCGUGAGAGCGGCGGAAGGGCGAGUAAUACGUGGGCAAGUUACCUCUUAGCCGGGGACAACGUCUGGAAACGGACGCUAAUACCGGAUGUGGCCCGGAACCGCAUGGUUCCGACGCUAAAGGCGGGGACCCGCAAGGGCCUGUCGCUAGGAGAGACGCCCGCGUGCCAUCAGCUUGUUGGUGAGGUAAUGGCUCACCGAGGCUUACGGCUAGGUGGACUGAGAGGUUGGUCACCCGCACUGGGACUGAGACACUGCCCAGACUCCUACGGGAGGCUGCAGUCGAGGAUCAUUCGCAAUGCACGAAAGUGUGACGAUGCGACGCUGCGUGGAGGACGACGGCCUUCGGGUUGUAAACUCCUGUCAUGAGGGAAAAGACGGCCUCCGUGAAUACCGGAGGUCACCGAUGGUACCUCAAGAGGAAGCCACGGCUAACUCUGUGCCAGCAGCCGCGGUAAUACAGAGGUGGCAAGCGUUGUUCGGAUUUACUGGGCGUAAAGAGUGCGUAGGCGGCCAUGUGUGCCAAACGUGAAAUCCCGGGGCUCACCCCCGGAAGUGCGUCUGGAACUGCAUGGCUUUGAGUCCGGGAUGGGAUGUCGGAAUGCAUGGUGUAGCGGUGAAAUGCGUUGAUAUCAUGCAGAACACCGGUGGCGAAGGCGGACAUCUGGAACGGUACUGACGCUGAGGCACGAAAGCGUGGGGAGCAAACAGGAUUAGAUACCCUGGUAGUCCACGCCGUAAACGGUGCGCGCUUGGUGUGGGGGGAAUAGACCCCCCCCCCGUGCCGUAGCAAACGCGUUAAGCGCGCCGCCUGGGGAGUACGGCCGCAAGGUUAAAACUCAAAGAAAUUGACGGGGGCCCGCACAAGCGGAGGAGCAUGUGGCUUAAUUCGAUGCAACGCGAAGAACCUUACCCAGGCUUGACAUGCAGCUGCACGGUCGGUGAAAGCCGAUCUCCUUCGAGGGUGCUGCACAGGUGCUGCAUGGCUGUCGUCAGUUCGUGCCGUGAGGUGUUUGGCUAAGUCCACCAACGAACGCAACCCCUGUGUCCAGUUGCCAGCGGAUAGCGCCGGGGACUCUGGACAGACUGCCCGUUCACACGGGAGGAAGGUGGGGAUGACGUCAAGUCAGUAUGGCCCUUACGCCUGGGGCUGCACACGUGCUACAAUGGCCGGUACAGAGGGAUGCCAAGCCGCAAGGCGGAGCAAAUCCCCAAAACCGGCCCCAGUUCGGAUUGCGGUCUGCAACUCGACCGCAUGAAGUUGGAUUCGCUAGUAACGGCGUAUCAGCUGCGACGCCGUGAAUACGUCCCCGGGCCUUGUACACACCGCCCGUCACAUCAUGAAAGCCGUCUGCACCCGAAGUCGCCGGCCCAACCCGCAAGGGAGGGAGGCGCCG